AAUAGUUGAUCAUAGAUAAUAUGAAUUUUCCCUACAAAAAAAGUGAAGAGGCCAAAAUGUGCAGAAGCAACUUUUACCCUUCCCUGCCUGUCGGAGACUCAAGAAAGUCUUGAAAAAGAAAGACUUUUAACAGAGGUUGACAAAAGGCAAAAUGAAAGGUUUAUCAAGGAAAAAAUGGCUCUCACAUUUGCAUACAGGUGGCAAGGGGUAGUGACCAGGAGCCCAGUGUUAAGGACUUCAAGGCUAGGUGGCCUGCGCUUUUCAGACAUUCUGAGAUCAAUGCGGAGUUCCAUAGGCUUACAACUAUGGAAGACAUGUUCCUUGCUCAGCUCCAUGCAUACAUGGGUAAUCUAAUAGGAGUGAUCCGUUCAAGGGGAGGAGCAACCCGUGAGAAAAGACUGCUGCACUAAUUCAAGUUUUGGAUGAGACUGGAAACAUUCACAUCAGGAGGGACUGUGUGCUAAAGGCUCUUAUUUUUUUCCUGGGAGAAAAUCCUAAAGACCUAAUCAAAGAGUACGUUGACCAGGCAGAUGAUUGUGAAAGUGACCUUGCGCAGCUCACCAUUGCAGUGUACAUUGUUCGGAAGGAGGGAGGAGAAUUUCUUCAACCGCCUGACGACAUAUGCAUUGUGAUUGAGGGUGUGAAAGUUUUGAAUCAAGUGACUUCGGUCACAUCAGCUUGUGCACUUCUCAUGGGUAUGAUGUACGUAAUCAACUAGGUUUAUCCGAAACCCCUUCGAUUUACUUUCGAGGUCUUCCAGAAAGUUUUCUUGCAACUUGAUCAACACAAAAUGUCACACAGAGUUCAGAGUCUUUUUUUAGUAGAUAACAGUAAAUAUGUCACAUUGAAGCACUUCUCAUUUAAUGUUUAUUAUGAUUAUAUCUAUGGAUUGAUUCCAUGUAGCUCUGUGACUACUGUGCUGUUAUAAAGAGUAUGUCAUGAUGUUUUUGUAAUAUAUUUUUAUGAAUAUUUUAAAAGCUCAGUUGUGGGCAUAUAAUGUUUGGUGCAGUAUAAAAAAUGGAAUGGAUAAGUCAAUGUUAAUGAAAUGUUCAGUUUGUUUUAUUAACAAAUUUGCAGAGAAAACUCUUCUGUUACAUUUUUGCAAUGCAGAGAAUGCUGUCAUUGUGUAUGUUUUCAAUAAAUGAUAUUGUCAAAAGCAGCUUGAGUCUCUUGAUAAAAUUUGUUUUCAGGAAAAAUCACAAAUAAAAAAUAUAUUUUUUAGCAAUAAUUAAGUAUGAAUUUCAUGUUUGUAAUAAAAUAAACAUUGAAUACAUUUAAGCUGGAAUGCAGUAAAAUUAUGUUAGGGUAAUGUAAAUAUUAGGAUAGAAUGAAUGUAAUAAUGUGAGUUGACCUUGCGAUAUUAAGUUGGUCAAAAGCAAAAUAAUAAGUUGAAAAAACGUAAUUUUUUUAGGUGUUACCAAUUGAAGUAAUUUUUUAAAGUUGAUUCAACUGUGUGACUUUUUACAGUGUGCCUUUUAUGUGAAGGUGAUGUUAAAUUGAACGACAGACCCGCCGGAUCCGACAUGUUAAUUAAGCAAUGAAUGAUAUGCUCCCUGUUGUAACAUCCACCAGUCGUAAAAAGAAAAGUGGCAUCUAGUGCAGUGGUUCCCAAAGUGGGUGCCGCAACUGGCCAGGGGUGCCGCCGAAUCUCGGCUUUUUUCCAGUAAAAUAAUUUUUUUUUACAUCAUAUAUUUAAAAAUAUAUCAAAACACCAACAUAUUAGCAUGUCCAAACGAAACUGAAAAUACGCAACAAAAAAAACCACAUAUAUUUCAUACAUAUGUAAAGUUUAAAUAUUUUUUUACCGCCACUUGGACUGUUCCUAGGAGAGAAUAGGCUCGUUUGAGAUGGCCAAAUUCUGCGCAGAACCGAUCACCGGUGAUCAGCGCGAGAUGCAUGCCGGUAAGAAAUGUGUCCGAGUUACGUCCGCCUUGCUCUGACGUCAUGCUGACAUGUGUCAAAAAACUUGCGACGGCCAGGCGGCUGUAUCGGAUUCUUCAGUCAGGCGCAGUUGCUCUCCACCGACUACACUGAUGAAAAGCACGAUGGGAAACAACUUGCUGACGACACAGCUUAAAUGCUCAUUGGGCGAGAAUGUCAGCUGAUAUCUUUUUUCUUAAGUGUUCCAUUAAUAAGUCCAUUAACUGAAGUAGCCUAGGUUUUGAGAUCUAUAUGUGGAAAAAACACACCAAUGUGAAAUAUAUAGUCCUCAUAACCACCUUGAUGUAAAGCAGUGACAAUUCAAUUGCAUAGAUUUCAUCUGCGAUAAAAAGCGCUUUUUUAUUAACGUAUAACAAAAACAUUACAAAACAAGAUGGUAUACAGUUUACAUUCAAAAACAGAAGAGAAAAAAUAAUAAAAGAUAAAAAACAAUAAUAAAAAUAAUAAUAAAAAAAAACAACAAAGACAAAUAAGAAAGAAAAAAAAUCAAAAUGUUCAAUCCAUCCAUAUUAAUAAAUUCAAAACAAGAAAUAUAAUUUAUAUUAUCGAUUAAGUCUAACAAAACUCCAGCUUUUUAUUAUUUGCUUUUGACAGCAUUUUAAAAUAUUGUCCCAAAUAAUUCUUAAAUAUUAAAAAAAUACAUUUGGGAAUUAAAUUCUUAGCUAACAAAAGUAAGCAAUUAUUGCACUUUGUCCAGGAAUUAAAGAAAACUAUGCUAUGAAAAAAGGGUCUGUGUUUUCUGGAAAUGAGUUACAGAAUUUACACAAUAUAGGAACUCCCCAGAAGGAUAAAUAUCACAUACAAUUUUGAAAUGUAUUUUUUAGGGGGGGAUAAACUGGAAACUUUAAGUUUAGGAAAGUUUAAGCAUUCGUUUGUCAAAGAACAUAUCUAAAUUCUUUCGUACAGCCUUGACAUCGUUGAGAGUUUGUCUAAUAUACGAUUUCUCACUUUUAAACUCAGUUGGCCCAAGAAAAAUGCGAUAAAAAACGUGAACGAGAUCUAUUCCAUUGCUGACGUUUCCAGUCGACUCGACAGCGCGAUUUGGGAAGUGUCCGUCUUGCCUGCGCUGUUUUCACUCCUCCUCUUACUGCAGCCGCCUACUCUCGUCUCUUUAUCAGGCGAGGCAAGGUGCAUCUCAAACAAGCCUAUUGGCUCCGCUCAGCUCCGCCCAUUGUACUGAUGCGCGCUCAUGUGGGACACGCGUCCCAGCUGUCUCAGGUUGGUUCCACGAUUGCCUUGUCCCAACCCUAGUUUGAUUGCCCCCACUGCCCCCGCUGGACUGCGUUCAUAUUAUUAUUCUUGGGUCCGAACCAGGGGUCGUUUGCGUCAUCAAGCCUGCAGCUGUUUACCCUGUUGCUUGUAACGACAACACAGGAGAAGGCGGCAAAAUGCAUUACAGUGCUCGCUUCAUUUAUAUACAUAUGCUUUGUUUCCAAAGCUUCAGUACAUAAUGCCACUUUCGUCUAUGAAUGUACUGCAAAUGCUCUUAAGAACGCUGAAGGCGCAGAAAUGAGACAUACAGCACUCUGCUUGGAGCGCGUCAAUCACGCUCGUCAGAAAAGUAAGUGAAACAAGCAAACAUUUUUACCAAAUAAAAUGUAAUUAAUAGCGGUUCACUUUCGCGAUUUGGUACAAUUGCGUUCAUAUCAGCAACGAAGCUACUGGAGUUCACGUGAACUGCACCCAGACCUCCCUUUUUAAGCGGACUCGGGUACACUUCGUAGGUUCGCACCCGUCAUCGUGUUGUUGCCGUUUUCAACCUCCUACUUGUGUGAGCUAGCGUUCUCAUCCCUGGAGCACAUUAAAAUACCCCUAACACAGUUUCAUGCACAGGCAUUUUAGUUUCCUUUUUAAGUCGUAAGGUCAAGUUUGAACAAAGCAAAUAAGGACCUAAAGAAAAAUGUAAUGAGAGUUGUUUAUUAUUAUUUAAAGAAUUAAUUAUCAAUCUUUAUUCUAAUGUGUAUUGUUCCAACGUUUUCCACAUACAGCAAAUGGUUCAUAUCAGUCUAUAAGAUUUGUUUACACGUGUCAUGGAGUUGUAAAUGACAGAUGGUUAAUUUAAAUGAUUUGUUUCACCUCAUAUAAUGUCCAUUGUAAUGCAUUUGUAAUAAAUUCAUGCAGCUGUUUAUACUUCAUUUGUUGUUUGCUCAUCUGGAUUUAAUUUUAUAUAUGUAUGUACGCAUGUACAUUUAGUUUAAUCAAGGUUGGGGUGCCGUGGGAAAAAUAACACUACAAAGGGGUGCCUUGCUUUCAAAAAGUUUGGGAACCACUGAUCUAGUGGAUAGUAGUAGUAGCAAUAACAUUCACGUUAAUGAAUGUUCAGUGCUUGCGGAAAUAUGAAAGAAGAAAAUUGAUUCACAGCUUUUGAGAAUCUAUAUUGAAUCGACCGCAUAAAAAAAACGAUUCAUCGAUUUUAAGAUUUUUUUGCCCAGCCCUUUUUCACACCCUAUUUUUUCCACACAAAACAAGCGAUCUUAGAGCAAUAAUCGUCAUAGCAUGUCCUGUUUAAAACACCACCCUGGAACAGAAAUGUGCUCACGAUGUGGUGAUUGUAAAUUAAUUUGUACAAUAUACGAUUGUUAGAAAAAAGCAAGCAUGAAGGUUCACCCCUAACCAUGUGCCUAAACAGAACCAUACUGGGGCAAAAGCAGAUCGUACAAAAUAAGAAUUCACUAAAACUUUACAAACAAACUUUAUAAAAAAACAUUUACAAAUUGUCAUAACAUGCAUUACCAAUAAUUAGAAAAGGGCAGUGUUGGGAAGGUUACUUUGGAAAUGUAAUUGUUGUGAUCCUGGUCACGUGGGUUCUCUUCCUGUCACUACGUCUGUGUGUUUAGUGUCUGCGUCACUUACCUCGCCUUCGUGUUCCCGUUAGGCUUUUCCCUCACUUGUUUCUCAUUACCUCCUCACCCUGUUCACCUGUAGAUUUUCCCAACCAUCAUUAUUAUCGCUUUCUAUAAUUCCCCGCCACCUGUUGCUUGUUAGGUUUUCCUAUUUAGUCCCUCUUGUCCUCUUGUCUUGUGUCAGACCGUUUCAGUGUAAACCCUCUGAUCAGUUAGCUCUGCCAUCUCGGCUUUAUUUUCUAGUACUUUAUGCAAACCUUGUCCUGUCUAGUAGUUUCCUCAAAGUAUAUUAGUACCCAGUUUCUUAGAUUAACUCUUGUCCAUGUUCUCUCUAGUUGUUUGGUCCUGUAUUAUCUCUCUACUUCUUUCCAGUUCCCGUUGGCGUCCCGGCUUGCUUCACUCUCCACCCGCUGGCACCACUCCUAUCCACAGAUGUUUGCACCUCAGGUGGAGUCUCCUCUUCCGAGGGUCUGAGCCGUCCUUCGGCCGGGCAUCCACUCUCCUGUCCCAAGAGUUUCACCAGGUCCUACGCCUCUCCUGUGGUGGUAAACAACCUCUGCGGCGCUGCACUCAUCUCUCCGGUGGGUCGAGCCUCCCCUCACCGGCUGUCCCCUAGUCGCCGCUCUGGAGGUAGCGAUUUAACGUCCGCCGCACUGCAGUUCAUGACUCUCUGGAAUCCCUGGGACUUCUACGAACUAUUGCCGGUGUUUGCGUCUAGGAAUCUCUGAGGCUUUAACAGACUGUGUCUUGCUUUCAUGUUGACAGAAUCUCUUGGACUAAAAGACGAUUUGUAGCCUGUGUCGAAGCUUAAGGAAUCUCGAAACCAGACGUUCUGUGGUAUUUGUGUGUGCCUUAAUAAAUUCUAACAUUUUUCCCUGCAAUUGAGUCUACUCACCUUGUGUAUCAUGACAGUAAUAGGUUACAGAUUACUCUAUUUAAAAUGUAAUAAGUAGUGUAACUAUUUAAUUACUUUAACAAAGGUAAAGUAACUGAUUACAUUUUAUUACUUUUCUAAAUUUCUCACAAAUAUGAGAACUGUUUAUAAUUUUCAAAUAUUUAAACCAAGCGGGGUUAACUUUACAGUAGUACUCAAUACUCAAUAGUAUCAGACUUUCAAAAUCCUUCAUCACUUGAAUUAAGAUUAUACUAAACGAUAAACUAAUAUGAGUGAUUUGUCCACUAGGAGGCGCUUUAGGAUAACAUUCAUCAUAGGAAAAGUUUCAAACCCUCAAGAAGAUAUGAUACGCAAAUGUAAAUGUGUUUUAAUGUGUCUUAAAAUGCUACCUGUCUAUACGUUUAACUGCAGGUGACAAACAUGGUUCUGCUCAUCAUUUAACAAGAGGCAGAGCCUACAGAAAAGCUUUGUUAUAGAUUAGCGCUAGAGAGACUGUUUGAAUAAACCAGGCUAGAAACUGAAUUGAAAACUGAAUUCAUUUGAAACAACAGAAAAUGUUCUUGUUAUUUUGUAUAAAAAAGUAUAUAUUUUAUUUUUAUAGUGUUAUACAUGAAAGGAAAAUAAAAGGGCUUGUGUUGUUAAUACGUUCUUGCGAUGAAUCGUUCGUUCUUGCUGCGAACGGAUUUGAAAUGAUCCAGCGCUGUCUCAAGUAAUAGACAGAUAUGACGUUUUCUGAACUCAUCCACGGUUAGUUUAGUUUUAAACGUCUCAAAUAUCAAAUUGUUCAUCUUCAGGAUAAAAAAAUCUGUUAUAGCAAACAGCGAAUCGAAGUAAUGUGUGCUUUUAUUAAACAAAGAAUGGUUAAGUUACAGACCUGCAGAUGCUCCCUCAGGUUCGGCAUUGAAGCCUUCGAUGUCGAAUUUUUUUUAAUAGCAAACAUAUUUUGCACUGGACUGUUAUAGUUCCGCCCUUAUUGGAUUUCUAUAUGAAAUUAUUUUUAAAUUGCAAUAGAACAAAUUUUUAUCGUUCACCAUGCGGGAGGCAACUCUCAGACUGGUCGUAGCUUCAGCAGCAGUUUGGACUGAUAUGAUUGGCAGACGUGGCGCGCUGCAAAUUCAAACGAGAACUAAUCAAAAGCAUCAGAAUAGGCCUUGCAGGAGGCAUACAGAAAAUAUUCAAAUGUAACGCCCUUUGUAAUCAUUAACAUUUUUGUAAGUAACUAAUUUAAUUACAUCUUUUUCACAGUAACUGUAACGAAUUACAGUUACUUUGUAAUUAAAUUACGUAACGCCAUUACAUACUCCCCAACACUGGAAAAGGGGAAGUUAGAUUGGAAGAAAGAUGGAGAUGCAGAAGACAAAAACAAUGUCUGGGUGAAAUCUAAAUCCUCUUAGCUUUGUUAUACUGCCAGAUACUCUCAAACUUUACCAUCUGCCGUACAGACCCAACGGUCUGGGCUAAAUGUGGCACAACUCCCACGAUCUCUUCCCCUGACUCAUAACAGACUCUGUAAAUGGGUCUCUCUCUCCCUCUCUGAAACUCACUCACCCUCAUUUGCAUUUAAAAAGCAUAACAGUGCUAUUUAGCAAUCUGUCAUAAAAGCCUUGUACUGUAUCAGUGUGCAUGUUUAUUCCACCCUGGGCCCUGAACUCAAGAGAGAUUGUUUGAAUACACCAGGCUAGAAACUGAAUUGAAAACUGAAUUCAUUUGAACAACAGAAAAUGUGCGCAUGUUAUUUUGUAUAAAAAAAGUAGAUAUUUUAUUUUUAUAGUAUUGUACAGUAAAGGAAAAUAAACGUAUGUAAAUACGUUCUUGUGAUGAAUCGUUCAUUUGCUGUGAACGGAUUUGAAAUGAUAGUGUCCAAGAGGUGGAAAAGAAAGAAAGAGAGAGAAACUUUUGAUCUUGUUACCAUGUUUGUUUCAUGCUUAGCUUUUGGGGUUUAUUGAGCACAAUUAGCACCAGUCCUCAGAUACGCUGCAUUUGCUUUCAUGGAAAACCGGAAAAAAUAUCAAAUAUCAAACGCUCUCUGAAAUGUCAGAGUUAUUAUUUUGCCCUAAAAUGGCACACAGAACAUAUAAAGAUACUUCAAAUCAACAGCUAAACAGACUCGGGAUUUCAGUAUAGAAAAGUGUGAUGUUUGUUUCUGAUUGCGAAGCAUGAUUUCAAUUGGAGCAAGAGAUACAGGUAGAGAGACUUUGUUGUGUCAAAGAAAUGUGAUGUCACUUUGCUCAUAGCUGACUGGAUCAAUAUCUGCUUGUGAUCUGUUAUUGAGAACACAACCUGCCCUAGAACACCUUGACACUACUGUGCUGAAAAACAGAUGAGAGAGGGACAGAAAAUUCUGAGUUUACUCAAACCUAAACUUCCGUACAGUAGCAAGCCGCUUAAUACAUCUUAGAUAAAGGGCACGAGAAUAGAGUUUCAAGCCAAGUCAAUAUACAGUAGUCUUUUUUUGUAUUGUUUGAUGAGUUUUUCCACUUGUUUAAAGUAAGUCUAUAGAAAUCCUGCGUUUUUGCAUAGUUUUAUUUUGUUUUGUUUUAUUUGAUUUAUUCUUUUAUUGUAGUUACACAAGUUUUUUUGUUUUCCUUCAUCUUAAAAUAAACCUUGAGGAGUAGCUACAUGUUGAAAAGUUUAGGGCCGCUUACUCUCUAAUGCUGGGUUCACACCAAAUGCGAAUUAAGCAGUUUGCGCGAGUAAAUUACAUACAAAGUCAAUGCAAAGACGCGAACUCGUCAAUCUCGUCUUCCACACAAGUUGAAAAUAUUUGUCAGCUAGCGUCUUUCACGCGGAAAAAAAAACUUUUCCCGUGAGUAAUAAGGAGCGUGGAGCGCCAUUGUUCGCGUUUGGUGUGAACCCAGCAUUACUGUAUAUGGUAAUUAAAUGUGGAUUUAAUUUUUUUUUAGCAAUCUCAUAAAAAUUAUGCAAUAACACAAAUGUAAUGUCUUGAUGUUUUACCCUGGGAUACUUUUUGAACAAGAGCUCCCACCUAAUCUAGGUUAUAUUUGUAAGUAUAUAUUUAAGCAUUGAGUACACAGUCAGACAGGAUUUAAACUAUGCCGGCUAAAGACCUAAAAGUUUGGUUUAAAGACGAAAAACGUACCAAGCAGAAUGUUUUCUCACCAUUCCAUUUCACACGCAUACAGUGUUCAGCGCUGUCUCACAUAUGUCAAAGUAGAAAUAAAACCGCUGCUCUCUGUAUCUCCGGUCACGCUCAUAUGUACAUUGCAUGAACUUAUUCUGUCUAUUCGAAUGAAAUAUUUGAAAAAGCAAAUACAUUUACCCAGCCAUGUGUAAGCUUUUUCAGAUAUUUCGUGAAGAAAUCAGGACCAAAGUGGACAAAAUAGACGGAUUACAGCAGCAGGUGUAAAUGGGUAUGUGCCUCUUUUGUCCACCUGUGAUCCGAUCGACCAAAACGCAUCUUAAUACCAGGCAUAAACAUGGGCUUAUAAAGACUACAAUGAGCUGCAGCAGGGGACAGAAGAGCCACAUGCGGCUCGAGAGCCACGGGUUGCCAACCCCUGACCUACACAAUAAGUCUUAAAAAGACUAAAACAGACAGUUCAGACUGCUAAGAGGAUUACUGGUGCAGGACGUACAGUUUUUCAGAGUAAAGAACUGGGCAGAAAAAUCUAUAUACCCUAAACACGUCUCUUUGAACACCAGGGGCUGGUUGCACCAGCUGGACGUAAAAAAGUUGGGUUUAAGCCUAACAUAGGACUUAACUACGUCCAGACUUGCACCAUCUAAAACUACGACCAGGCGCAGCUACGCUUUACGCUCCGAUCAUACGGGGCAUCAGCAUUAACGCUUGGCGGAGGGCGUGUCUGAAGUGUGGCCGACACGAUCGUCAUAUACUGUAGUGACAACAGCCGGUUAAAUUGUUCUCCGGUCUUGCAUGAACGCAAUUGGCUAGUGCCUGCACUAGGUUAUUUGCAUAAGGUGAUCUGAUUGGCUGACGCCUGCGUUGGCGCUUGAAAAGUUGAGAAAUGUUCAACUUAUUGCCGCAAGCAAUGCCAGUGAAGCGACGCUGACGGACCAACAAGUCAGUUCAGCAAUGCAUGACGUCACCCAUUCAAAGUAAAUGAGAAGCGUUGAUGCUGACGCUCCGUGUGAAUCAUUAAUUUAAGAUUAAUGUGAUCAAUCAUUAAGAUAAAAAUAUUAGCAAAAUUAUAAGCUGAUGUCAAGGAAAAAAUAAGAAAAAUACGAUAAGAUUUGGGCCUUGUUUUAUGAUAUUACAUAAAUGCAAACAGGUAAAUAAAAUAAAUAAAUCAAUGCCAAAAUAAAUAUUGUGGGGACUCCACUUUAAAGGAUUUAAUUGAAACUCUGUGAUAGGCUUACAGGGGUGUGACAGAUUCAGAUGAGCAUAUCAAGAAUGUUAAUGUAACGGAGAAAAUCACUGGUUUGUGUCCUACUAAUCAAGAGUGAUGAAUGAAACUUAUUUACCAAAGCCACAGCUUAUAUCCAACAAAACACAUGCAGAAUAUCAAUGGAGGAGAUGGCACAAGAACGCUGUGCAAAUAAAACAAAAGAUUGAGAACAAAGAUUAUGUUUUUUCUGAAAUAUUAAAGGGAGAAUAAUACAAAGUUAAUCAGCGUGGCUAGAGAUAAAGAAGUGAGAUGAAAAGAAGAGGAAACAAUUACACAGAAGUAAUUGGUUUGAAAUAACAAAAAAAACUGAAAGUGUUUUAGCUAUUAUACAAAGCAACAUAAUGUGAAACGUGUAUUCUGAUGGUAGUAGGCCAAGUCAAAGAACACAGCUCAGUAAUCGGAUACGAUCUUUAUAAUCACACAAGCAGGGCUGGUGGAAAUUGUUUUUGCAGUUUAUAUUUACUUAAAAUCUAUCAAAUCUAUUUACUAUAAAAUCGUACUGAACUGUCGGUCACGAGCAGUGUUGGGUGUAACUAGUUACUAAGUAAUUAGUUACUGUAAUUUAAUUACUUUCCCCUUGAAAAUGUAAAGUAAGGGAUUACUCUUAUUUUUUGUAAUUUAAUUACCGUUACUUUUGAUAUAAUUAAACUAAAUACUUUGUGUAAUAUGUGUGUGCAAUAGUGGAAUUGACAUCAAAAUUCAAAGUCUAACUUUACAAUCUGUGCUUUAAUGUAUAAUUCUCACAUUUGUAAUACUUUGAUCAGUUAAUAAGAGUACUUUAUGUAGUUUAAUAUUAUUUAUUUUAAUUAAUUAAAAGAGCCUUUUCAAGCCUAUCCUUGAAUCACAUAACUAAUCAAGGUUGAUAUAGGAUAUAGAAAGUAAUAAGUAACUAAAUACUUUUUGGAGAGAGUAAUUUGUACAGUAAUCUAAUUACACUAUUGCAUAUGUAAUUAGUAACUAGUAAUUAAUUACUUUUUGAGAGUAACUUACCCAACACUGGUCACGAGACACACGAGAGCCAAUGCUUUUGCACAAAAGAAACUGACAUAUCUUGGCGGCAGAUUUUGAACGACUCUGUUCACCGGACCUGAGAUAUACGGCGGAUGGUGAUCGCUUUUGCAUCUGUUCCUCAUACUAAUCGAUCAUUUGGCUUUGAUACACUUAUUUGUAUAUUUGUAUUUUUUGAAUGACACUGUGACUGCUUGUAUCUUAUAUUUGUGUUUUAUAUUAUAUAAUAAAUAAACUGUUACGUUACUUGCUCAAACUGCCCGAAUAAUGUCAAGUAAACACAAUUAUCCUGGCGGUUAAACUGAAAAUCAGAAGUGGUUAAACUGAUAACACGUCAUCAUUGCAAAAUUACACCCCAAUAUAUAAUUUCAUUAUAAAGUAAAAUUUGUGUUUGCGUCUGCGUGUUGAUGGCAGUGGUUUAUCAUGCAAAGCAACGGAUUACCCUGCACGUCGAAACGACACCAAAGGGGUACCCCGCGCAUUGAAAAGAGACGCAGAGGCGCGCUGCCCGAACGUCAAUAUGUGACGAGUCGUGAGUAUAAAUGUGUUUGUUUUAUAUCAAAUAUCCGAUUCCAAACCUUUCGAUUCCAAUUCCAGAAUUUUUUCAGAUUUCCAACCCUAGUAAACGUUUGAUAUUAGCUAUGUUUCCAUCCACCCAUUUUUAUACACAUUUUGGGAUAUUGUAUAAAAAAAAUCACUGGAUGGAAGCACCAAGAUGCGCAUAAAUGUAAAAAUGUGGGGGAAAAAACGUUGGCGCUCAAAUGAGUCGGAUAAACUUUUCAUGUAAUGAAAUGCACAAAAACUACUGCAUUCCUAAAGAGCAUGCAUCUGCCUCCAAAAGCCGUGUUUGUGUUUCGUCUGUGGCUCAGGUAAUUUGUUAUACUAUAUACAGUAAUAUUUAUAUAUUAUUUAUAAAAAGCCAACCUACAGUUCUCCAAUGGCAGAAACUUUAAUUUCCCUUAGUAAUAUUUGCGACCAGUUUAUCAGGAAGUUAGGAAUUUGUCUUUUUGACCCACAAGAUGCUUUAUUCGCAAAUGUUUUAUGCGAUAUAACAAUUCUGUGCAUACAAGUUAAACUCAUAACUUUGGAUGGAAACAUAUGAAGAGUUUGGUUCCAAAACACGAUAAAGGCCAUUUUUUUGAUGAAUGAGUUUCCGCCAAAAUCAGUAUUGUAUCAGGCCGGUAUUGAAAAGUCACUUUUUAAUUUUACGCAAAAUGCGAUAUCCGCCGUGUUAUUCUGUCAUGUUCUCUCCCUUUUUUCCAAACCGCAAUAUACACCAGUCUCACUUCUCUGCAGAACGCAAUAUAUCCGCUCAACCAAUCACAGCACACCAUUCCACGCAUUGUAAUGGCAAGCUCACACUACGUGACUUUUGGCUUGAUUUUGCUGUCGCGGACAGAUUUCCAAGGUCGGGACCUUGAAACCUUCAGAUCGCGACCAAAACGGUGCUCGUUUUGGUCACGGAAGCUCUUUAAGUAUAACCAGGUGUGCAACGUGAUCUGGACCUGUCUCGAGCUAUCCCAGACACUACGAUAUUUUCAAACCUGUUUGAUAUUAUCGCCUAGUGAUCUCGUUGUGUGCGCGAUUGAAUGACCACGUGGAACUAAUCCAGCCAAUCGCAGUGCAGAUGAUAUAGGAGGAAAGAAGAUGAAAUUAAACGUAUUUUCGCUGAUUGUCAGGACCGCCUCUUCACCGAAUGUUUUGCGGUGUGUGCACCUCGUCAGCGGUGUGUUGUGUAGUAUGCGCGCAGCUAUGACAAGAUGAUGACAGAUGAGAAGGAACUUUGUUGUGUAGUGUAAGCGCCAUAGCAAUUCAAGUUGUCUCACAAGCCGGGUUUCCAUCCAAAGUUGCGAAUUUAGCUUAUGCACAAAAUUGGAAUAUCGCAUAAAACAUUUUCGAAUAAGCACCGUUUCCAUCCAAAUAGUCAACCGUCACUUCCUAAUAAACUGCCACUAAAUAUCAGUAAGAAAAGUAAGAGAAGCCACUGAAUAUAAUGAUUUUCAUAUAGAAUAAUACUUGCGCAAGCAGACGAUUAAGAAACACAAUAAAUGCGGUGCUUUUGUGGAGGCCUGCUGUUCGGGAAACACAGUCGUGACAGUUCUAAGAGGCAAUUACAGAAAUACUUGACAACUUUGCUCGGGCAUUUAAGAAUGACCAUAACAAUAUUUCUGAUGCUGUGUAACAAGAUCAGUACUCUGGUUUGUCAGGUUACGCCGUCUCAUAGUGCAAUUAUGUGACUUUUUGGAGGAAUUUAUUCGGCAAAUGUGUUUCCAUCUCCCAUUAUUCGCAUUAACCCUUUUUCGCAAAAAUGAAAAACCACCUCAAGCGAGCGUAAAAACUUUUUGCGAAUUAAGGGUUUUUAAUUCGAAAUUUGGCGUUUUCAUUACUCGUUUCUGAUGCGAAACUUCAAAAUGCGAUUAAAACCAGAGUGAUGGAAACCCGCUUACAGUCCCGUAGUGUCAGCUCGGCUUAAGCGCCAUAGCAAUUCAAGUUGUCUCACAAUCCCGUAGUGUCAGCUCGGCUUAAGCUAAUCGAAUAGCAAAUAGGAAAAGAAAAGGCAGCGUGGAAAUGGAAAUGCAAAUGGUAAAAGGAAUCGCCUUUUAAAUGACUGAUUAAAGUUGUUUAAUUUGUAAAUCCAAUUAUUUAUUCCUCUUUUUAAAUCGCAUUUUCAAAUACAUUUUGAAAUUCCACUAUUUAUUUAGGAAUUCAUUAAUGCACUUUAAAACGAUGUACUUAUUGAGUGUUUUAUGUUGAUUUUUUAAUUCCCUUUUUAAUUUGAAGUAUUUAUUGAUUGAUUAAUAUUUCAUUUAUUAAUUAUUUUUAUAAUCACACUUUUUAUUGCCCAUUAAAACGUUAAAUAAUGAAUGACUUUAUCAAUUUGCCUAUUUAUAUUUGGAUAAAUAAAUAAAGUUUUAAACAAAUGUAUUAAUGCCUAUUUUUAUUGUAGAAUUACUUAUUAAACUAUGAAAUGCUUUAUUACUUUACACAUGACUCUUCCGGUCCUCCAUAGUACUUGUGUUCAACAAACAAACAAAAAAAUGAAUAAUUUUGAUGGCAUUGAUGAACCUGUGCUGAUUUCUGCGGUGGGUAAGAAACGUAAGCCAUCGAAAUCUAAUAAUUUACGUGAGGAGAUUAAGAAAAUGAGGCACUAAUUUAUAGCAUUAAAAAGAUGACCCGUUGAAUUCAUUUUAGGAGCGAUGACUGAUUGAAUGUAUUUUUAGUCCAGUGCCUGUAUGUAAGAUCAGUAUUGUAUUGAGUUCAGAGGCUGUCAUAUGUGGAUCAACUCACUUUGUUGUGUAUUUUCAACAGUUUCAAUAUGAAAAAUAACUUGAUUGAAAAAUUGAUUCAAUGGAUUUAUUGCAUUUUUUUUUAUUGUCAUGGAUUUAUUGCAUUUUGGGGAAAAAAUGAUCAGUUUUUGUAAUAAAUCUUUUAAAAUCAAAAUCUGGAUUUGAUUUUUUUAAGUUACUAGAACCUAAAGAUGCUAUGUGAAACAUUAAAACAGAAAACGGUGGUUUUUAUCUUGCCACUUUAUUUGUAAAGAAAACACAUUUUUACUCAAAUUAAUCAAAAUGGAUUUAUAGUGUAUUGGAACCAAACUCUUCAUAUUGACUAUGUUACUUUGUAUGGAAUUUGUCAUACUGUUAUUGUUACCCAUGAAAUGAUAACAUUAACUUGAGAUUUUGAUUUUGUACUUUAUUCCUCUCGUGCAGAACUCACAAUGUACACAUUUUGUCUUUGUUGUUGUCGUUUAAUUUAGUUGAGAGUGUUUGUGCACAUGUAUGUGUGUGGUCAAACUGUAAAAACAAACAAUUUACAAGUACUAUCCAAUAUUGUUCACAUCAACAAAAUAAAAUAUCUACCAUCUUAACAUCAGCUUUAUAUAGUAAGCAUUAAAUUAUAUGCUUAUAAAUAAAAUAUAUAGUAAUCCCUAUAAUGCUAAUGUCACAUAUUUGCAUUAAGCAUGAUCACAUACGUGCUUCAAUCAACAAGACGUACUUCUAGAGUAAUCUCUGUUUCAUAAACGCAUAUUUAACCUCGUUUACCAGCUAAAUGCAACAUAUAUUGCAUGAAUAUUUUAACAAGCAAUAUAAAACAGUAAAUGUCUACACAAACAUCAAAACACAAGUGUAUUACAUUAUCCGUUUAGGCGCUAUGGCGCUAAUCACAAAUAGCGAUUUACAUAGCCACAUAUCAGAAACUAUAAAUAAACUUAAACCACAUAAGAACU
This is a long non-coding RNA of Triplophysa rosa, 15282 nucleotides long. RefSeq lists it as uncharacterized. The record is from RefSeq and is a predicted model, not a curated record. The transcript has 4 exons. Lineage: Eukaryota; Metazoa; Chordata; Actinopteri; Cypriniformes; Nemacheilidae.